This 259-nucleotide long non-coding RNA is filed under the name Coturnix japonica (Japanese quail). RNAcentral's name for it is "lncRNA (ENSCJPG00005019008.1)". The record is from RNAcentral. Lineage: Eukaryota; Metazoa; Chordata; Aves; Galliformes; Phasianidae.
CCACAGACACAAACAGUGAAUGUCACCAGGUGAUCCAGCUCUGGAAUAGCCCCUGCGUGUUGACUUAUUGCUGGAGCUCUCUAGACACAUUUGCUGCCAUGAGAUGCCUCAGCCAAGGAUUCUGAGCCAAGAUAUGAGGGAAAUGGUUUAACCAGAUGUGUGCCCAUGCCUGCAACACAGAAUUUUAAGAUGCUGAAAUUUAAAAGCUUGCUAUCGUCUCCCCUGCCUCCCAGCAGCAAGGGUCAACUCUACUGAGGAG